This 497-nucleotide ribosomal RNA is filed under the name uncultured bacterium. RNAcentral's name for it is "partial 16S ribosomal RNA". It matches the Rfam family "Bacterial small subunit ribosomal RNA", at positions 28 to 507 of the family's 1533-position model. The record is from RNAcentral.
GAUGAACGCUGGCGGCGUGCCUAAUACAUGCAAGUCGAGCGAACAGACGAGGAGCUUGCUCCUCUGACGUUAGCGGCGGACGGGUGAGUAACACGUGGAUAACCUACCUAUAAGACUGGGAUAACUUCGGGAAACCGGAGCUAAUACCGGAUAAUAUAUUGAACCGCAUGGUUCAAUAGUGAAAGUCGGUUUUGCUGUCACUUAUAGAUGGAUCCGCGCCGCAUUAGCUAGUUGGUAAGGUAACGGCUUACCAAGGCAACGAUGCGUAGCCGACCUGAGAGGGUGAUCGGCCACACUGGAACUGAGACACGGUCCAGACUCCUACGGGAGGCAGCAGUAGGGAAUCUUCCGCAAUGGGCGAAAGCCUGACGGGGCAACGCCGCGUGAGUGAUGAAGGUCUUCGGAUCGUAAAACUCUGUUAUUAGGGAAGAACAAAUGUGUAAGUAACUAUGCACGUCUUGACGGUACCUAAUCAGAAAGCCACGGCUAACUACGUG